AGCUUAUUUUGUUUUUCCUUAAUUGAGAUGGAUACUUGAACCUGGGUUUGCAUGUGACAUCCACCUUAGUUAUUCCUCAUUACAAAUUCAUUCUGUAGUAAGACUAAGCUUAAAUAAAUAUAUGCGUAUAAUCGGGCAUUUUAUAGACACUCCAUGUUUAAAAGAUUCAUUUCUGGGGGACAGUCUUAUGCCAUUCUAUUAAGUCGUUUGGUCUCUGUUGCAUAUUUGCUUUUCAACAAAAGAAAAUGUGGCUGAACAGUGAUGAACAACCUGUAGUCAAAAACGUAUUGUGGAGUAUUGGUAGUAACAACUCAUAUGAAAAAUAUUAUUGUCCAUUGAGUUUUAUUUCCAAGAGGCAUGAGUUUCUACUGACAAUACAUUUAGAAAAAGAGCUGCCACCUAGAUACAAGUAUAAUAAUCCAAUUACUUAGAUUAAUGAUGGAUGUUUGUUGAUCAGCCAGAUUAGCCCAUUCUUUAUUUGAAGCAGCAUGUUGGAGCUGGUGAUGAUCUAGCUGUUUGUGUUUUAGCCUUACAUUGAUAAUAGAUGUGUGUGUGGACCCUUCCUGUUUCUAUGCUUUAUAUGAACCUUUUAGUGUCUAAGUCAUUUAAAUGUUUCUGCUGGGUAAUAUUCAUUUUGUCCAAGAACAAUGCAUUUGAAAACUGUGAUAAUUAAAUUUGAAUUUAGUUUUGGCCCAGAGCAAUGUAUUUGUAGGCUGUGAUAAUUAAAGAAGAAAAUAUAGAAUAAUUUAGGAACGGUUGGAUUAGUUACGUGGUUUUCCUGGCAGCCAAAGUAUUUAUGCAUGUCCACUGGCAUUUUUCUGUGUAAUGAUCACUCUACCAAACAAAUAGUAAGUAGAAAAGAGGAUCUUUGAUACUGUAACAAUAACAAAACUGCUGCAAUGAAUUCCAUUUUACAUUUACAGUUACCAUUUAACAAACAUACAAUUUAAAUUGCAAUGAAUUUUCCCCCGCAGACAAAUCUACAUUUGUUUACUAAAUUAUUAGACUUUUACUUAUUUUUAACAAGAAACCUUCAAAGUUUUUUUUCACACCAAUCCUGAUAAUUCCUGACAAGGUAGACUAGGGUACAAUUAUCCACAGCUGGUGUCUGAAGUUACUAGAUUCUCCAAUAUGAAUGUUUGUAAUGCCUUUCAAGUGUGAUUCCUCCUCCAAGCUUUCAAUUUACUUUCAAUUACUGUUAAGCUGACUCGGCAGCAUUCCUAGCAAUUUAAUAAUGGACCUUUAGGUGGUCCCUCCAACUAACCGGCAGGAUGACUUUUUGUAAUCAAACAGGAUAACUGAAGUAAGUCCUACUUUGGUUUUAAUUUUAGAUGUCUAAAUCAAACAUACUGUAUUGUUUUCAGAUUUAUGGCUUUUACUAUUUUUGUCUCAGAUACAUGCUUUUUAAAAUAUCUGAGAUAGUUCUGUGUUUCUGUUAACAUUGGAAAAGGAUUUAGCUUAAAUUAUCGAUACUGUUGGUUGUUUUUGAGGUUUCUGUGCUGUUCGACACCCCAUUAGGGGUUAGGCAGGAGAGCCAUGACCACUGGGAGCCACAUCUACUUAUUACUUUGGAAAAACUGGACUCUUCGCAAAAGACAAAAGCUUCGGUUCUUUGUUGAGAUAACUUGGCCGUUGGUUCUGUUUUUUGGAUUGGUGUGGUUGAGAGAGGCUAACCCACUAUACCGACAACAUGAAUGUCACUUUCCCAACAAAGCUAUGCCCUCUGCUGGAAUCCUGCCUUGGAUACAGGGGAUGUUCUGCAAUGUUAACAACCCCUGCUUCAGAUACCCAACACGUGGCGAGUCUCCUGGUGUUGUCUCCAACUAUAACGG
Lepisosteus oculatus (spotted gar) is the source of this 1832-nucleotide non-coding RNA. The record is from RefSeq and is a predicted model, not a curated record. Lineage: Eukaryota; Metazoa; Chordata; Actinopteri; Semionotiformes; Lepisosteidae.